This 246-nucleotide ribosomal RNA is filed under the name uncultured Bacteroidales bacterium. Its description in RNAcentral is "partial 16S ribosomal RNA". It matches the Rfam family "Bacterial small subunit ribosomal RNA", at positions 88 to 334 of the family's 1533-position model. The record is from RNAcentral. Lineage: Bacteria; Pseudomonadati; Bacteroidota; Bacteroidia; Bacteroidales.
CCGGCGACCGGCGCACGGGUGCGUAACGCGUAUCAAACCUGCCUCAUACUCGGGGAUAGCCUUACGAAAGUAAGAUUAAUACCCGAUAUUAUUAGUUCUCCGCAUGGUGGAUUAAUCAAAGAUUUAUCGGUAUGAGAUGGUGAUGCGUCCGAUUAGGUAGUAGGCGGGGUAACGGCCCACCUAGCCUUCGAUCGGUAGGGGUUCUGAGAGGAAGGUCCCCCACACUGGAACUGAGACACGGUCCAG